CUGAAAAGAGGCGAUGGACACACAUUUUUGGAUGUGACUAAUGUUGAAAUUCAUUUUGCUUGACUAAGCAUAUCUGAAAACCUCCCACCUCCCUAAUUGGAGCCUAUGACUUUUUGUUUGUUCAAUACCACCAUGAUCCAGCUCAACUUUCUAGUUGGAUGGAGAUCAGAGAACUGCUUCAUCAGGAUAUAUAUCUUGGAGAGACAGCAAAUGGAUAAUGAUCUCAGCCAAGUAAUGACAAGAUAGAGAAGUUUAUGGUGUAUUCUCUAUUUAAAAAAAUGCAGUUUUAUACUGACCUCAAGUUUCCCUCCGAAUCAAGUGUCCAUCUAUUUUCAUAACAAUUUCAUGUGGUGAUGCUUUAUUAAUUGCAAAUUAUGAAAUUCUGGUUUCAAAAGAAUUAAAGUCAAUAGUCAUUCAAAGGACAAUGGAGAGUUUCCUGCUAAAGGCAAUCAAAUUUUGAGCAUUCCAAAUAAAAUGUUGCACAAGAAAAAUCA
This 494-nucleotide long non-coding RNA is filed under the name Monodelphis domestica (gray short-tailed opossum). RNAcentral describes it as "lncRNA (ENSMODG00000046411.1)". Lineage: Eukaryota; Metazoa; Chordata; Mammalia; Didelphimorphia; Didelphidae. The record is from RNAcentral.